RNAcentral lists this ribosomal RNA (253 nucleotides) under uncultured bacterium. RNAcentral's name for it is "partial 16S ribosomal RNA". It matches the Rfam family "Bacterial small subunit ribosomal RNA", at positions 524 to 776 of the family's 1533-position model. The record is from RNAcentral.
CACGUAGGGCGCAAGCGUUGUCCGGAAUUAUUGGGCGUAAAGAGCGUGUAGGCGGCUUGGCAAGUCCGCUGUGAAAACUCGAGGCUCAACCUCGAGACGUCGGUGGAAACUGCCUCGCUAGAGUCCGGAAGAGGAGAGUGGAAUUCCUGGUGUAGCGGUGAAAUGCGCAGAUAUCAGGAAGAACACCCGUGGCUAAGGCGGCUCUCUAGUACGGUACUGACGCUGAGACGCGAAAGCGUGGGGAGCGAACAGG